GUUCCAUUGACAGGGGAUACAACUGAUAGAUUCAUUCCCAACAUUCUCUUAAGAGUAAGAUUGAGCCAGGCUUGACUAACAGUGAAAUGUACUGAACAUCUCAAGCUGCCAGGAAGUAGAGUGAAGAAGAAAGAUACAGCAACUUGAACAUCUGUCCCUUGUAUGCUGACAGAGCUGCUUAUACAGCUAGUGCACAGAGAGAGGAAGAGAGCUUUCCUAUAUUCCACGACAAUAUGCUUCAACCUGGAGAAACAUGUCCACAGGUGAAAGAGCAGUUAAGUCUUCAUCACCAUUACAACUCUGGACUUACUUCUGGAACUGUUGGACAAGAACAACAAUUGAUUGUCCCUUUUAAUAGUAGUUUUUGUGAUGUUCGUACUUGCCAACUAGGAACUGGACUGAGACCAAGGACUUAUUUCACACAGGCCACUGUACACUUGUUAAGAAUGAGCUGUCACUAUUGAUCUGGACCAGAAUGGAACCAUUGACCUAGAGGUGGAAGCUCACUGGAAACCCAACAUUCAUUGUUUAUUUGCCAGAUGAUUUCCAAGAUAAAAAGUCAG
Non-coding RNA from Pelodiscus sinensis (Chinese soft-shelled turtle), 563 nucleotides. Lineage: Eukaryota; Metazoa; Chordata; Testudines; Trionychidae. The record is from RefSeq and is a predicted model, not a curated record.